UCAUCGAUAAAAGUUGUUAGUCUCUCUAAUCGUACCCGUCACCUUUUAGAAAACAGUGAUGAAAACAAAAACAGAAUCCGGACUUUAAAAAAAACAUUCAAAACUCAACGGAAUUCCGACUCAUCUCUUUCUCCAUCGUCUCAAGCCUAGAGCGAAAGUGCUUUCUGCUCUCAAAUCGGAAGUGCAGCUCGUUUAGCAGAGCUUACAGUUGUUUCUAGAUUGUUGACUCAAUCAUUGCUUUAUUCAGAAUGGAUUUCACUGGAAGACGGGAACUCGUGGACCCCCAGCAAAAAACUAGCUCAUAUGCUAUCAAAGAUAAUAAAAAAAUCGCAGAGGAAUUCAAUGUUGCUGUCUAAAGAAUCACAUUUUCCAGGGGUGGAAUGUUCAUAUCAGAUCCAUAGAAGCUAACAGGUGGGCAUGUUCUAGGUCACGCGGUGACCAUCAGGCUCAGUUUCAGGAAGGAGAGCAACGUGUCUGUUUGACGCGCCAAUGCAUGACUCCUUUUCUCCUUAACAAAAGAAUCACAUUUUCCAGAUUACACCAGGAGGCGUUGCAGAUGCCAAGGACUAGAGCCAGCCUAGAGGAGAGCUCUUUAUGUCUUAUUACACGUAUUAUGACUGUUUUUACCGUUUAUUUCUUUUACGCUUUUACCAGCAUAGCAUGACUUUUCCUGGGAAGUUCUUAUACUAUUAAUCUUGACCGUCA
Molecule: long non-coding RNA, 705 nt
Organism: Raphanus sativus (radish)
Lineage: Eukaryota; Viridiplantae; Streptophyta; Magnoliopsida; Brassicales; Brassicaceae
Exons: 3
Source: RefSeq, a predicted model, not a curated record